This is a long non-coding RNA of Tupaia belangeri chinensis (Chinese tree shrew), 517 nucleotides long. RefSeq lists it as uncharacterized. The record is from RefSeq and is a predicted model, not a curated record. The transcript has 3 exons. NCBI's taxonomy places the organism in Eukaryota, Metazoa, Chordata, Mammalia, Scandentia, Tupaiidae.
GGCUCUGGUUUUGAUCUGACAGUGGGCUCACCCCGGGGAUACCUCUACCCAGCCCUCUCCAUGCAUGUACAACAGGGGAAGAAGUCCUGGCCCAGUAUCUACAACAGCAACAGCCUAGGGCCACGAGCUCUUCCCACCUGCUGCUGACGCCCUGCCGGGUGGCUCCUCCCUACCCUCACCUCUUCCCCAAUUUGAGCCAGCAGGGUGUGUUUCUUGAAGAUCCCCCUGUGGGAGCAGCAGGGGACAGUGUCCCCGUGUUUGGGGCCUUGUGCUCCUCUGCAUCCUUGCACCGCACCCUGGGAGGCUUAGCCAGAGAGCUCACCAGACUCGACCUGCGGCACUGGGCCAGCUUCCUGGCUGCUGGAGUGGAGCAGGAUGACGUGGAGGAACUGCUGCAGGAGCUGCACAGCCUGGCCCGGUGCUACCAGGACAGCGACAGCCUCGUGGACUAACGCUCCAAGGGUGGGGGAAGAGCUAGUUUGCGAUAAAACUGCUGGAUGCAGGAGCCCAGUGUCUU